Molecule: long non-coding RNA, 1352 nt
Filed under: Ictidomys tridecemlineatus (thirteen-lined ground squirrel)
Lineage: Eukaryota; Metazoa; Chordata; Mammalia; Rodentia; Sciuridae
Description: lncRNA (ENSSTOG00000032458.1)
Source: RNAcentral
AUGGAGACGCUGAAUGGCCCCGCGGGCGGCGGCGCCCAGGACGCGAAGCCACAGCCGCCUGGCCAGCACCACCGCCACCACCACCUCCACCCGUUGGCCGAGAGGAGGCGACUGCACCGCGCGCCCUCGCCCGCCAGACCCUUCCUCAAAGAUCUGCACACCCGGACCACCAUGCCGGGCCCGGCUCCGGCUGCCCCCUCGUCUGGCCGAGCCCCGACACCCGCUGCUCCACGUUCACCUAGCCUAGCGGGCAGGGCACCGCCCUCGCCCGGAUCCCUGGCCGCGCCCGGCCGCCUCUCCAGGCGAAGCGGCGGCGUCCCCGGCGCGAAGGACAAGCCGCCGCCGGGCGCUGGGGCCAGAGCGGCAGGCGGCGCCAAGGCCGCCCCAGGAACCAGGAGGGCGGCGCGCACGGUGCCUGCUGAGCCUCUGCCCCGGGCGGGGAAGCCUCCUGUGGCCGAACCCUCAUCCGCUGCUGCCAAGGGCCGCAAAUCCAAGCGCGGCUUGGGAGCAGCUCCUGGCCGCGCCAUCGGCUCCAUGCCCCUGACUGCCCCGGUUCCCGCCGUGACCCUUUCUGUGACCUCGGCUGUCGGCGCAGUGCCCCCCGGCUCGCGCAUCAGCCACACGGACAGCAGCUCAGAUCUCUCCGACUGCCCCUCUGAACCUCUGUCGGAUGAGCAGCGUCUGCUCCCCGCAGCCAGCAGCGACGCUGAGUCCGGUACCGGCUCCAGUGACCGUGAACCCCUGCGAGGAGCCCCCACGCCGAGCCCGGCAGCCCGGGGAGCACCGCCUGGCAGCCCCGAGCCUCCAGCGCUCCUCGCCGCGGUCUCCUGUCUCGGUGGCCGAAGCAGUCCAGGCGGGAUCCCCCCGGGGUCCCCGGGUCUCGGUGCGGUAGAGGAUGCUGGGGGGCGCGUGCUGCCUGAGCGACCUGUCCCUGCGAUUCUCAAGGAGCCCAGCCAGCUUGAGCAGCCCCGGCUCCUGUCUGUCCCAGUGGCGGAGGAGGAGGAGCUGCUGCGGGAGAUGGAAGAGCUGCGCUCGGAGAACGACUACCUGAAGGAUGAGUUGGAUGAACUCCGUGCUGAGAUGGAAGAGAUGAGAGAUAGUUAUUUAGAGGAAGAUGUUUACCAGGUGCAGGAACUUCGGCGAGAACUGGACCGUGCUAACAAAAACUGCCGAAUCCUGCAGUACCGUCUCAGGAAAGCAGAGCAGAAAAGCCUGAAAGUGGCAGAGACUGGGCAGGUGGAUGGUGAGCUUAUCCGAAGCCUGGAGCAGGACUUGAAGGUGAGUAGGAGGGGUUGAUGGAGGGGGCAUUCCCAAGGGGCUGCUGUGGGCUGCAUCAUUUGUCUGAAAAUGUA